Kogia breviceps (pygmy sperm whale) is the source of this 1472-nucleotide non-coding RNA. NCBI's taxonomy places the organism in Eukaryota, Metazoa, Chordata, Mammalia, Artiodactyla, Physeteridae. The record is from RefSeq and is a predicted model, not a curated record.
GCCCCGCCGCCGCCACCGCUGCCGCCGCCGCCGCCGCCAUGGGCUGCCUCGGAAACAGUAAGACCGAGGACGAGCGCAACGAGAAGGCGCAGCGCGAGGCCAACAAAAAGAUCGAGAAGCAGCUGCAGAAGGACAAGCAGGUCUACCGGGCCACGCACCGCCUGCUGCUGCUGGCCGCUAGGAGAAUCUGGUAAAAGCACCAUCGUGAAGCAAAUGAGGAUCCUGCAUGUUAAUGGGUUUAAUGGAGAGGGCGGCGAAGAGGAGCCGCAGGCUGCAGGGAGCAACAGCGAUGGUGAGAAGGCAACCAAAGUGCAAGACAUCAAAAACAACCUGAAAGAGGCCAUUGAAACCAUCGUGGCCGCCGUGAGCAACCUGGUGCCCCCCCGUGGAGCUGGCCAACCCCGAGAACCAGUUCAGAGUGGACCACAUUCUGAGCGUGAUGAACGUGCCAGACUUUGAUUUCCCUCCCGAACUCUACGAGCACGCCAAGGCUCUGUGGGAGGACGAGGAGGGGUGCAUGCCUGCUACGAGCGCUCCAACGAGUACCAGCUCGUCGACUGCGCCCAGUACUUCCUGGACAAGAUUGACGUCAUCAAGGAGGCUGACUAGGUGCCCAGCGACCAGGACCUGCUGCGCUGCCGCGUCCUGACUUCUGGAAUCUUUGAGACCAAGUUCCAGGUGGAUAAAGUCAACUUCCACUUGUUUGACGUGGGCGGCCAGCGUGAUGAACGCCGCAAGUGGAUCCAGUGCUUCAGCGAUGUGACUGCCGUCAUCUUCGUGGUCUCCAGCAGCAGCUACAACAUGGUCAUCCGGGAGGACAACCAGACCAACCGCCUGCAGGAGGCUCUGAACCUCUUCAAGAGCAUCUGGAACAAUAGACGGCCGCGCACCAUCUCUGUGAUUCUGUUCCUCAACGAGCAAGAUCUGCCCGCUGAGAAAGUCCUUGCUGGAAACUCGAAGAUUGACGACUACUUUCCAGAAUUUGCUCGCUCAACUACUCCUGAGGAUGCAACUCCCGAGUCCGGGGAGGACCCACGCGUGACCCGGGCCAAGUACUUCAUUCGAGAUGAAGUUCUGAGAAUCAGCACUGCUAGUGGAGACGGGCGCCCCUAUUGCUACCCUCACUUCACCUGCGCUGUGGACACAGAGAACAUUUGCCUUGUGUUCAAUGACUGCCGUGACAUCAGCCAGCGCAUGCACCUCCAUCAGGAUGAGCUGCUCUAAGAAGGGAACUUCCAAAUUUAAUUAAGGCCUUAAGCACAAUUAAUUAAAAGUGAAACGUAAUUGUACACGCAGUUGAUCACCCACCACAGGGCAUGAUUAACAGAGCAACCUUUCCUUUCCCUCAAGUGAUUUUGCGAAACCCCCUUUACCCUUCACCUUGCUUAAAUAUUCCAAAUUUAGAAAGCUUAAGGCGGCCUACAGAAAAAGAUAAAGGAAAAAAAGGCCACAAACGUUCCCUCUCUCUUUAA